Molecule: ribosomal RNA, 497 nt
Filed under: uncultured bacterium
Lineage: Bacteria
Description: partial 16S ribosomal RNA
Rfam family: Bacterial small subunit ribosomal RNA
Source: RNAcentral
GAUGAACGCUGGCGGCGUGCCUAAUACAUGCAAGUCGAGCGAACAGACGAGGAGCUUGCUCCUUCGACGUUAGCGGCGGACGGGUGAGUAACACGUAGGUAACCUACCUAUAAGACUGGGAUAACUUCGGGAAACCGGAGCUAAUACCGGAUAAUAUUUCGAACCGCAUGGUUCGAUAGUGAAAGAUGGCUUUGCUAUCACUUAUAGAUGGACCUGCGCCGUAUUAGCUAGUUGGUAAGGUAACGGCUUACCAAGGCAACGAUACGUAGCCGACCUGAGAGGGUGAUCGGCCACACUGGAAGUGAGACACGGUCCAGACUCCUACGGGAGGAAGCAGUAGGGAAUCUUCCGCAAUGGGGGAAAGCCUGACGGAGCAACGCCGCGUGAGUGAUGAAGGUCUUCGGAUCGUAAAACUCCGUUAUUAGGGAAGAACAAACGUGUAAGUAACUGUGCACGUCUUGACGGUACCUAAUCAGAAAGCCACGGCUAACUACGUG